GCCUUCGUGGUGUAGUGGUCAGCACGCUCGACGCAUAACCGAGAGGUCCAUGGUUCGAUUCCCGGUGAAGGCU
RNAcentral lists this transfer RNA (73 nucleotides) under Stegodyphus mimosarum. It matches the Rfam family "tRNA". Rfam says of the family: Transfer RNA (tRNA) molecules are approximately 80 nucleotides in length. Their secondary structure includes four short double-helical elements and three loops (D, anti-codon, and T loops). Further hydrogen bonds mediate the characteristic L-shaped molecular structure. tRNAs have two regions of fundamental functional importance: the anti-codon, which is responsible for specific mRNA codon recognition, and the 3' end, to which the tRNAs corresponding amino acid is attached (by aminoacyl-tRNA synthetases). tRNAs cope with the degeneracy of the genetic code in two manners: having more than one tRNA (with a specific anti-codon) for a particular amino acid; and 'wobble' base-pairing, i.e. permitting non-standard base-pairing at the 3rd anti-codon position. Lineage: Eukaryota; Metazoa; Arthropoda; Arachnida; Araneae; Eresidae. The record is from Rfam by way of RNAcentral.